CCUACUUAUUCAGAGGGAUCAAUCCCAUCUUGACUCAUGCACCGACUUGAUAAGUACUUGACUGCACCCAAAAAUCUUUCAUCACUGAAUUAAAAAGUCAGAUGGUCCAGCACCAAAGCAUAGUGAGUUAUUUACAAGUCACCGUGGUGAUCUCAGGUCAGAGGGACACUUAUACCCAUACCCUUCGUGAGCUACUCAUGACAGCAAAGUGCUCCGUAAUUGAUCACGUUUGAUGCGAAUGUACACCUACAUUCCACCUGCAUGCCAUAUCAGUAUCUCCACCCUCCUUGGUUAAGAGAACAACCAACCCAUAUGAAGCAUAGUGAGUUAUUUACAAGUCACCGUGGUGA
Molecule: long non-coding RNA, 350 nt
Filed under: Elaeis guineensis (African oil palm)
Lineage: Eukaryota; Viridiplantae; Streptophyta; Magnoliopsida; Arecales; Arecaceae
Description: long non-coding RNA (EGUI_LNC059098)
Source: RNAcentral